Molecule: long non-coding RNA, 11181 nt
Organism: Mus musculus (house mouse)
Lineage: Eukaryota; Metazoa; Chordata; Mammalia; Rodentia; Muridae
Product: predicted gene, 57836
Exons: 2
Source: RefSeq, a predicted model, not a curated record
AGCUUUUGAGUUGAUUUCCUGGUGUGUACCAUGCGGUGCCUGUCUAUCUGGUGUGUACUGUGCGGUGCCUGUCUGCCUAUCUGGUGUAUACCAGGUGGUGCCUGUUUGUCUAACGAAAGACAACCAUGUGUUCUCAUAUGCUUAGUUCUGGCUUUCACUCAGACCCUUCCCCACUUGUGUGUUGUGUUAUUUUCACUGGUGAUUGCUGUUAUGGCCCAAUGCCCAGCUACCUGAGGUCACAUUUUUAUAUUUCAUUUAUCUUUGGACAGAAUGCUAAUUUCAUGGACUGACCAGGCCACAGGCCUAAGCAACUCACGCUGUAUGCAUGUGGUAGACCAUCAGAUUUCCCAUUAAGCAACCCUAAAGCACUCAGAAGCAGCCCUUAAAAUGUUUAAUUGCGAUGAAUACCAGAACAUGAGAACUGUAAUUCUCACUUUGAUCGUUUGAUGUUUAUUACUGUUUUAAGAUCGUCUGCCAGGUAGUUUCUCUUGGUCUUUAUUUUAGGAUAGCGGUUCUCAACCCAUGGGUUGAGACCCCAUUAGUGAUCAAAUGACCCUUUCACAGAGAUCACAUAUCCGAUAUCCUGCAUAUCAUAUAUUUAAAUACAUUACAUUUUAUGAAGCAGCAACAAGAAUAAUUUUAUUGUUGGGGGGGUCACCACAUCAUGAGGAACUCUGUCAAAGAGUUGCAACAUUAGGAAAGUUGAGAACCACUGUUAUAGGAUAUCAUGGUUUAUUUCAAGAUAUUAUUGGUAAUUUGCAUAGCUUUCUAUUCCUAAUAAAAUAUGUGGAGUUUCCAAUUUUUCCAGGAGAACAGAAACUUGCUUACGUGUCACCCGGGGGAAGUGUGAUUCUGAUUCAGUGUGUCUCAGCUGAGCGUGAAAUCCCACAUUUCUAUGCCACUGCUACCCAAUGACCAUACCACCAUUCUGUGGUCUACUGUGCUUAGUGGAAGCAUAGAUAAUUUUCAGAAUUAUCCCAUUCCUAGUGACUAAUGGAAGCGUGCAGAACAUUGUUUUCAUGAAGAAGUAAUGAAUACCCAUCAGCACUCCUUAAUAUCCUCUGCCCCAUCCCCCACUAUGCCUAUUUUCUUAUCUUUUGGGCCUAAAGCAAACAUACUCUUUGUCAAUACCAAAUAUAUUGUCAACACUAAGCUCAGGGCUAGCAACAGAUGAUAAUGUCCAUGCAUUCAGUCAAUCAGAUUACUACCAUAUCUCAGCUUUAUGUGAGGCCCAGAAGAAGCAACCUGAUACCCAUUACCCACCUGAUCCUGCCCCGUCUGCAUGAAUAACUGUUUAGUUUUGCUCAUCCCCGGAUUUCUGAAUGUGAAAUACGGAGAUUGGACCACUGCGUAUGUAUGGCCUUUCAGAUUUGGCUACUGCUCUCUGCUAUGGCCGCAAGAAGCCAGAAUGUCUUAGCUAGGAGCUCCAGGUCACUCACAUCUGGUGCAAAGGGUUAGACCUUGUUUGUAAACUCAUACUUAUGUGUGCUUCUCAGGUGUAUUCAAUAUAUUUGUGUUACGUCAUUUAUUUGAUAUGAUGUGUUUACAUAUUAAUCAAAUGGGUGUUUACAUAUAUCCAUGAAGGUAGCAGAAACCAUAUUUGUCAUUCCUUGAACCCCUACCCUCCUCUCUUACAGUGUACAAAACUCUGUGUGUGUGUGUGUGCGUGUGUGUGUGUGUGUGUGUGUGUAUGUGUCUGUGUGUGUGUUAGUUUUAGUUUUAGUGUUAGUGUUAGUUUCAGUGUGUGUCUGUGGGAAAGGCUAUGCAUGCAAGCUCCCACAUACUGCUCUCCUUUCUAGAAGCAGGACAUUUUGGCUCCUUGGCUGCUACCUCAGGUAUUUACCUACAUAUCUCUAAAUUAAAUGCUUAUGUUCUUAGGUUUUAUUUCAAAUUAAAAAAAAAAAAAAAACUAUUGCUUCAACUCUAAAAACUAGGAUUUAUUUUUGUCACAUUCUGCCCACAACAUGCCUACCUAUCCUUCCUGUCAUUUCUCCCUUUUAGUUACAGCACAGUUUAGGAUCAGUUAACAAUCUAAUGUGUGUGUUCUUAAGAUCAGACACAAGUCCACCUGACCUGUUAUUCCACCUGACCUAUUGCCUUAGUUAGGAUUUCUAUUGCUGAAAAACAAAACAAACAAACAAAAACACACCAUUACCAAAAAGCAAGUUGGGGAGGAAAGGGUUUAUUCAGCUUACACUUCCAAAUUGCUCUUCAUCACCAAAGGAAGUCAAGACAGGAACUGGAACAGGGCAAGGACGUGGAGGAAGGAGCCGAUGCAGAGGCCAUGGAGGGCUGUUACCUACUGGCUUGUUCCUCAUGGCUUGCUCAGCCUGAUUUCUUAUAGAACCCAGGACCACCAGCCCAGGGUUGGUUCCACCCACAAUGGGCUGGGCCCUCCUUGACUGAUCACUAAUUGAGAAAAUGUCUUACAGCUGGAUCUCAUGGAGGCAUUUUCUUAACUGGGGCUCCUUCCUCUCUGGUGACUAUAGCUUGUGUCAAGUUGACCCAAAACAAGCCAGUAUACCCAUGUAGCAUGUUUCAGUUACAUGAGACCUAUUACUGCUUAACAUAAAUAAGAACCGACUCUUUGUAUUCUCUGUGCAUGCGUGAAUGACUUCCACUUUUUUUUUAAAGAUUUAUUUAUUUAUUAUAUGUAAAUACACUGUGGCUGUCUUCAGACACACCAGAAGAGGGCGUCAGAUCUUGUUACGGGUGGUUGUGAGCCACCAUAUGGUUGCUGGGAUUUGAACUCAUGACCUUCAGAAGAGCAGUCGGUGCUUUUACCCUUUGAGCCAUCUCACCAGCCCGACUUCCACUUUUGUAGUGAUGGGCAUCAGGAUGUUUUGGAAUAUUUAGCUGAGGUCACACCGCUGCUCGUAACCUUCUUGUCCAUGUCUUCUGCAUAGGGUUUCUUUUUGGUGUGUGCAUGAGGGUGGACUUAGAAAAAUACAUGAGUGUUCACACUGACAAGACAAUGCCAAUCAUGGCCAGUAUGAUUGCCACAGGAUAAUGUCCUUCCAGCACUGUCUCAGAGAUCCUGUGGCUCUGAGACCUGUCAGCACUCAGUACAGUCUUUAAAAACUACUUGUUAGUUGAGAAGGAACAUGGCAGCAUAUUGUUGUUUAUCAACUAGUUGCGUUUCUUAUUCGAAAUGUCUGUGUCUUAUUUCAAGUUUCUAAUUUCCCUCCUUCUUCUUCUGUGUGUGCUUUUCCAUAUCAAGGUUAUUUACUCAUAAUAAUAGUUCAUGGUAGGAAUCCUAAAUACACAUUGCAAAUAUCUUUUCCCAGCUUGUAACUUGUUUCUCACUUUCUUAUGUGUUUUGUGACCAUACGUCUUCAUUUUAAUACAAAUAAUGCCUUUUUUUUUUUCCUGGUCAGUGUUGCAUGUAAUUCUGUGUACGAAAUCUUUCCUAACUGGGCCUGGUGGCACUUGCCUGUAAUCCCAGCCCUCAAGAGGUGUAGACAGAACGAUCAAGAGCUGGAGGCCUACCUUGAUUAGAUAGCAAGUCUAAGGCCAACCUGUGCUAUAUCAAGUUCUCAGAAACCAAACAAAAACUUUCUCUGUCCCAUGGCCCAGUAGAUAUUUGCUAGUCUUACCAAGAAUUGACGGUGUAGGAUUUUUUGGAAGUCUGCUCAGUUGAUUUCUUCAUAAGGUACGGAGAGAAGAUUUUUUUCUUCUUCACCAUAUACGAACGACUUUAUUAUGCUUGAUGACUGGCCCACCCUUCACUCACUGAUCCCGCAGAUCCUGCUGUCUCCUGCUCUACACGCAUGGGAAUAUUUCAUUCACUUGUUUAUUUCAUUGCUUCUACUCUUGCUCCAAAACUAUAAUUUUCAUUAUUAUAGAUUGAAAAUACAUCACAAUGUUUGGAUAGUCAACUCUCUUUAAUCAUUUUCAAUCAGACAAAAAAGAAAGUUAACACUUUUCAAUAAUGAGAGAAUACUUCUUGGGUUUUUAUUCCUCCAUAUAAAUUUAGAUCAUCUAACCAAGUUCAGUACAAACGUUUUCAUAAUUUAUAAGAUUUUCAUUGGAUUUAUGUAUAGGUCAGUUCAGGAAGAAUUACAUUUUUAUAAUAUGAAAUCUUCUCACCUAUGAAUAUGGUCUGUCUUUCCAAUUAUUAAGCCUUUUUGAAACUAAAGAAAUAGAUACUUUCUGUUCUGACACCUUAAAUUCUCUUUAAUAAAGCUUCUUUGUUAGUUGCUGCUGGAGAAAAAUGCAACUACCUACCUACCUAAGCCCUUGUAACCUCUUCCUGUAUGGGGCUCCAACCCAGAGCUUAUGCAUGCUAGACAGUGCUCUACCGCCCUGUUUCAUAACCAGAGGCUCUUACACCCACCUUACCAUUGCUGAUAUUACCUCUGUAAUUUCUUAUAGUUGUCUGCAGAGUACCAAAGAUUCGUUAAGGAUUUUUUUUUUUCCUUUUUUUGGACAAGGUUUUUCUAUGUAGCUCUGGCUAUCUUGGAACUCACAGUUUGCUCCUUCCCCUGCCUCCCAGAGGCUAGGAUUAAAGGCAUCCACCACCAUGCCUGGCUCUUUAGAGACUUUUAAACAAUAAUAUCUUCUGCUAAGUGCAGUGGCUUGAUUUACUUCUUUCCAAUCCCAUGCUUCUGGUUUCUGUCUCUGUUUCCUUUGUACCUGAUCGGUGUUUGAAUACAGAGAGGAUUAGAAACCACAGUGGUUAGAACCCCUAGCUCAUUUCUCAGAUUGAGUAGACUAUUUCAACAAUUUCCCUGCUCGGAGUGGUGUUAAUUAUAUGUCUUAUCUAAUCAUUUAUAGAAUUAGUAGUGUUCCCUUCUAUUAAUAAUUUACAAAGAACUUUGAUCUUAAAUGGACCUUUAAUUCCAUCACAUGAUUUUUCUUCAUUGCCAAAAUAACUUUGUCACGUUAUCUUGUUCCAUUAAUGAAUCAGUGCAGUACAUUAGAGAUUUGCAAAAAGUUGAAUCAUCCUUGCAUAGCCUAUAAGCCAAGCAGGUUGAGGCUUUGGUGUCUCUCAUCAACUGUUCCCGGAUUCAUCCUCCCACAUCCCACUCAAACAUCCCACAGAACAGAGAAAUGACGCAUCUACACACUCAGUUCACAGCAGUGCCUCUUCACCAUCAAGCGGUCCAGAGCCCUGCCUGGAUCAGUCACUCGGAAGGAGGUCGGGCGUGGCAAGUCGCAGCAGGCUCUGAGGAGCCCAGGGCCUGACUGUCACUUAGUAGCACUUGCUAAUGACAUCACUGUGCCUCAGCCUCCUGAUCUGUAAAAUGGGAUGAUAACUGUGCCUUCUUCAUAAGGUCCCUGUGAAGAUGGCAGGGAAUGUACUCAGGAGCGUGCCUUGUCUGUACUGCCUCGGUAUUUGCUGUCGUCAUUUCCGUUACGGCUUUUAUUUGCUUCCAUCUAGUGCUGAUUAUAGCACAUGAAAAAUUAAAACACAACAAAACACUGCUGAUUAAAUGUCCCCUGGGCACUGAAACUUUUGAUUUUUGUUGUGGAGAGACUUAUUUUAGACUUGUUUGGACGUAUUCAUUUUAUAUGAUGUUUUAUCCAUUCUUUGAGAAUGUCACACAAAUUAUUUGGAUCGUAUCCACCCCCUCCUUCUCUCCGUAGCUCCUUUCAGGGCUGCCUCCCACCUCUCACCCUCUCCCAAAUUCCUGUUUUGCCGCUGUUGUUUAAUAAUCCAGAGUUCAAUGUGUGCUGCCCAUGUGCUCAUGGUGGGAGGGGCAUCCAGUGGAGUGUGCUUAACCCACCUAGGCCAAGUCCGUAACAAAAAUUGACUGUCUUUCUCACUCACGCACCUGUCUCAAUCCACGCUACAAUGUUGACUGGCUUGAUCAUAUGCAGGUUGUAUGUAAAAGCAACAGCAUUGCUGUGAGUUCAUGAAUCCAACCGUCCUGUCACAGACCUGUCAUAUGUGUCUCUAGCACUAGCAAAACAAACAAACAAAAACAAGAAAUGCUUUGGUGAAAGUCUCUCCUGGAACUUGUCACAUCAGAGUUGAAAUCUCCUACCUACCCUGUCUAUAACACCAGUGCUCUGCUUGUCCCCAUAGUGAUAAUGUCUUAGUCAGGGUUUCUAUUCCUGCACAAAACAUCAUGAAGCAAGUUGGGGAGGAAAGGGUUUAUUCAGCUUACUCUUCCACAAUGCUGUUCAUCACCAAAGGAAGUCGGGACUGGAACUCAAGCAGGUCAGGAAGCAGGAGCUGAUACAGAGACCACGGAGGGAUGUUACUUACUGGCUUGCUUCCCCUGGCUUGCUCAGCUUGCUUUCUUAUAGAACCAAGACUACCAGCCCAGAGAUGGUCCCACCCACAAGGGGCUCUCCAACCCUUGAUCACUAAUUGAGAAAAUGCCUUACAGCCGGAUCUCAUGGAGACAUUUCCUCAAGGGAGGCUCCUUUCUGUGUGAUGACUCCAGCCUGUGUCAAGUUAACACACAAAACCAGCCAGUAGAGACAACCUCACUGGGUGGGUGCUGGAAGAGUAACCAGUGCUCUUAACCACUGAGCCAUCUCCUCGGCCGCCAGAAAUUAAUCUCAAAAGGGCUGCUUUUAAGGCAAUCUUACUAUGAAACCAAACCUAAGUAGCAACCUCUAAAUGUUUCUCAGUAUGACCACAAGAGAAGUGAAUGCUAUGGUUUUUUUUUUUAUUUUGAAAAGUAUAAAACAACAUGAAUUAAAAUAUUCACCUUGGAGUUAGAGUGGAGCUCAAAGUUGGUAUGUGUGAGGCUCUGGGUUCUGUCCAAUCACCAAAAAGAAAAGACAGACAAACAAAUCCUACUAACCUAGUUAUUCUAAAACACACACACACACUACUGACAUUCUCAGCCAUAUUUUCAUCGGAACCUCUUAGGCACCUAACAAAAGAAUGCUUCCUCCUUUACCGUGCGCAGCUCUAGUAGCUGUUAGCAGGAGAAAAAAGUUUCAGUUGUGUCGGGGACUGAGCGGAGAAAUUAGGAUGGCUGGCUUUGAAAAAUAGUUAAGUUUUUGCCAGUUGCCUAGGGGCUCUGAUUUACCGCAGGCACGUGGAGAAGUGUAGGCUUGAGAUCAGGAGAGAUGUCUGGGGGUGAGUGGGAGAGCUUGUCCACGGAACUGUUCACCCACAGGGAGGCGGGUUCCCAGCUGCCUACGGUUCAUCUCCCACUGUCCACAGCAACGUGCCAAAGGCAGAGCUCAGGCUGAUUCGGGUGUGAGUCACACUCCCGCUUCGGUGCGGUCUGAGUCAGAUGGCAGCUGUCGAACACUGAGCCCCACUCACCUUCCCUCCAACGCACAGGCUCUACCGCCAACUCUCAUCCUCUCUCCUUUGCCUUGUCUAGUUCUUACCAAGUGCCCACACAUGACAACUCAGAGGCAUUCGAGGGAGACGAGUCUAAAGUCAACUUGAUGCCUUCCACCAAGAACUGUUUAAGUCUGUUUCUUCCCAUCUUACCUAAACAUUUGAGAUUACUCAUUUUCUCUAUUUUUGUGGGGUAGGGAGCACAUGUGUGCCACGGCACAUGCGCAAAGGUCAGAAGACAACUUGAGUCGGCUCUUUCCGUUAUGGUGAGCCCUGGGAUUGAAAUUAGCUCAUCAGGCGCAGCAGAAGGGGACCUUUCCUGCCGAGCUAUUGAGCUGGCAUUUUUAUGCAUAAAAUUGGAGUCACACUGCAGCUACUCUUUGUUGACCCUUUUUUUACUUAAGACUGUAUCAGGCCAUUUCAGCCAUUUUCUCAGCUAUUCCAAUGUGUGUGUGUGUGUGUGUGUGUGUGUGCAUACCUGUGCGUUUGCUAGCUGAGUAACUCAUCAUAUUUCAUCUUUUAUUCUUAAGCAUUUUAGUUUCCAGAUUUUUGUUUCGUUUUGGUUUUAUUUUGCUUGUGUUUUCAUCUUCUCUUUUAUUCUCAUUUAUGAAUUCAUUUUACCCUUCUGAAAGUGUCCUAGCCCCUCAGGAGGGAGGACACAUACCACUGUGACUUUGUGCAGUUGUACCUGUCUGGGACUUUGUUUUUCCUACAUAAAGCAAGGUCCCCACUCAUAAGUAAGGUGGGCAAAGUGCCUGGCACACAACGGAUGCUAUCAGACGGCAACUUUUUAUUUCAUAAGUAGGCUGCUUGGAAAUCGUCAGAACUCAAUUAAGAUGAAAAUAGAUCACAUUUGACCUCUAGCUAUCUUAUGCCUACUAUCCUAAGAGGGCUCGUUCUUGCCUUCCAUUCAUACUGAAGAGUAUUCCUCUUGAAAAUACAUUUUGCAGACAUUAAAAUCCUGUAAUUCCGAAUUCAAUUACAGGGAAGUGGUCAUCAGUGAAAGAAAUUGGCACUGAUGUGGAAUGAGAACCAACAGCUGUCUGAGGAAUGCAAGUAUUUAUAGCUCUCUGGAGCCCAGGUUAGGAAGCGGGCUGACACUUCUCCAGAGGAAAGCUCGUGGGUGGCCGACCUACCUACUGGCUGCUUAGUCACAGAGACUGUAUGGCCAUGAGGUCUUGGAAGCCUGUCAGCUGAGCGCUGAACACGUACAGAAAGAAGAAUUGAGAACUAGCCUUAGAGCAGAAAUGGGGACUGUGUAUUUGCUAUAGAGAAGAAAACCCAGGCACAGCUGUUCACAGGCCCACUGCCUGUAGUGCUAUUUCCUCUUCUCUUAAGAUGCCAGGUCAGACGUAUAGAAAGAAAGAAAGAAAGAAAGAAAGAAAGAAAGAAAGAAAGAAAGAAAGAAAGAAAGAAAGAAAGAAAGAAAAGAAAGAAAGAAAGAAAGAAAGGAAGGAAGGAAGGAAGGAAGGAAGGAAGAAAGAAAAGAAAGGAAGAAAGAAAGAAAGAAAGAAAGAAAGAAAGAAAGAAAGAAAGAAAGAAAGAAAGAAAGAAAGAAAGAGAAAGCAAGCAAGCCAGGGCAGGACAAGACACAAAGUGACCUGUUGCCCCCAUCCGACUACUCACUUUUUGGCACGUAGUUAGAAAUACCAGUUAGCUUUUCUGGCCACAUGACUUCCAAAGGAGGAUGGACCUCUGGGCUCUCUUCUGGAUUCACCCAUCUGCCCGCCCCACUUCCUUUCAUUUGAAGCUCUCUGCUUUAACAUUCCUGGCUGGCACCUUACUUUAGUAAUGUCCAGGUAGCAAAGGUGUUUGAUGGAAUAGGGAGCAUUCACCAAGUGUUUUUGAGCUCCCUUCCAAUGUGUGUAAUUACACACAGUGUCGGAUGACUCAGAACUUGUGACCUGCCGGAAGACCUCGGUUUUAUUCCUCCAUCAACUGCCGUGCCUCCACUAACAACGGUUAAGCACCAUAAAAUGCCUGCAUGGUCCAACAAAGAACUGCAAUGAGUGAACGCAUCCAAAUAAAAACCAGUAGACCGUAGUCGGACUGUAGCAAAUUAGAAAGUGUGUUGCCUGUUGCCUGCUCCUGGAAGGAAGGAAGGAAGGAAGGAAGGAAGGAAGGAAGGAAGGAAGGAAUCAAACAAUCCUUAUCUUGCAUACAUACUUAGGAAAAUCUUUUAUGGUGCUUUUGUGUGAUGAAGCCAUGUGUUGAACCAGCAACAUUUGCAGCUGGUGAGUAGACAGAAUGAUUUUUUUUUAAGUCCAAUAGAGUGGUUUCCUGUUUCUUGACUAGACCUCGAAGCAAGAGGAAGGUUAUACACUCUUGUGAGAAUAGAAGAAGCUGUAGCAUUGUGUUUACAUCCGUAACGAAUGUGGAGAAGUAGAAACCAUGUUCCUCUCUCAUUUUUUAAAAGAGCAGUAGGCAUUUGUGUAGUUCUUGAGGUAAAUGAUCUACAAGGCACAGUAAAUGGGGAAGAGAAAGAGGCAGAGUUUGUGGGCUGCAGGAGUAUUUUAUAAUUCUCUACGAAGCAAUAGUAACCUACCACCAUACCACAUGAUGUGUAGCUAAAGCUCACCCAAACUGAGUUGUCCUCACAGUCAUCACAACAUAGUCCCAGAAAAAUGAAGAGCACUUCUACAUACCCUUGGGUAGUUAUAAUCCAUAGUUGAUACUCUAUCCCCUUUGAAAUCAAUAUGAAACAGAAAAAUGGCAUGAAAAAUAUGAGUGAUUAUUCAUUAUGUAUAAAGCCUUUGAAUAAUGCAUCAAAGAUCCAUUCAGAUAAAUGGAAAUAAUGUAUUCUAACAGCUUAGCCACAAACUGUUGGGGAUGUUGAGUUAUGAAAGGCACUGCGGGACUGUGGCUCUCGAGCCACAAUGGCUGUAGACAGUUAAUGAGCAAUAUAAGCUGGGAACCCAUAGGCAUCCGGAAGGUCCCUCUUGCUCUGUUUCCUGGCCCUACAGUUGCCUUGAAAUUAUGAACAAUGAUAGGAGGCAUGAGCCCUGUAAAAUUAUGCUGCCAAACACAGGUAGGAUCUGGUAAAUUAAAACAGAGCUCUCAUGUGUUCCUAGGCUUUGGUUCUGAGCUCUGAGAUGAACUGACAUGGAGAGCCAUCAGAGAGUGAUGGCAGAGUCAAGGCUCGAAAGAGUGUGGAAUCUUAAAAGAAUCUUAGAAAUGGGUCAGAGAGAUAGGUCAGUGAGUUAGGAUGCUUGCUGUGCAAGCGUGAGAACCUGAGUCGAGUUCAAGUCCCUAGGAUCCACACAAAAGUUGGGCAUGUCAACAAUGUCUCUAACCUCAGGAUUGGAGGCAUGAAGACUGGUAGAUCCUGAAGUUCACUGGUCAGACAGCCUAGCCAAAACUUCAAGUUCAGUGAAAGACCCUGUCUCAAAAGAAUAAAAUGGAUAGAGUUAAGGAAAAAUCUCCUCUGACCUACAAGUGUAGAUUCAUAUACUGCGUGUGCGUGCGUGCGCGCGGGCACACACACACACACACACACACACACAUUAAAUAUUCAUACAUUGCCUAAGCCAUAUUCUCAUUUCUAGAACUAGAAAACAAGAAGGAACUUUCAGAGCUGCCCUCAGACCAGACUUUAAUCAGCCCAACCUAAGACCAAGGACACAAGCCUGAUUUUUUUUUUUUAAGAUUUAUUUAUUAUAUGUAAGUACACUGUAGCUGUCUUAAGACUCUCCAGAAGAGGGCAUCAGAUCUCAUUACAGAUGGUUGUGAGCCACGUUGCUGGGGUUUGAACUCAGGACCUUCAGAAGUGCAGUCAGUGCUCUUAACCACUGAGCCAUCUCGCCAGGCCCCACAAGCCUGACUUAUGAUCUUUUCCACCCUCCUGGAAGUUACCAGAAAACUUAAAACCAUGACGUUGCUUAUGUCUGGCGAACACAAGUCUUGUUUCUGCAUUUUUUAAAAAAAAA